RNAcentral lists this ribosomal RNA (265 nucleotides) under uncultured archaeon. RNAcentral describes it as "partial 16S ribosomal RNA". It matches the Rfam family "Archaeal small subunit ribosomal RNA", at positions 717 to 982 of the family's 1478-position model. The record is from RNAcentral.
AGACGUCUACAUUAGAUACCCGUGUAGUCCUAGCCGUAAACGAUACUCGCUAGGUGUCGGCCACGGUGCGACCGUUGUCGGUGCCGUAGGGAAGCCGUGAAGCGAGCCACCUGGGAAGUACGGCCGCAAGGCUGAAACUUAAAGGAAUUGGCGGGGGAGCACAACAACGGGUGGAGCUUGCGGUUUAAUUGGAUUCAACGCCGGAAAUCUUACCGGGACCGACAGCAACAUGAAGGCCAAGCUGAAGACUUUGCCGGAUUAGCUG